Molecule: ribosomal RNA, 468 nt
Filed under: uncultured bacterium
Lineage: Bacteria
Description: partial 16S ribosomal RNA
Rfam family: Bacterial small subunit ribosomal RNA
Source: RNAcentral
GACGAACGCUGGCGGCGUGCUUAACACAUGCAAGUCGAACGGAAAGGCCCGGCUCUUGUUGGGUGCUCGAGUGGCGAACGGGUGAGUAACACGUGAGUAACCUGCCCUUGACUUUGGGAUAACUUCAGGAAACUGGGGCUCAUACCGGAUAGGAGCUCCUGAAGCACGGUGGGGGUUGGAAAAUUUCGGCGGUUGGGGAUUGACUCGCGGCUUAUCCGCCUGUUGGGGGGGUAGGGGCUUACCAAGGCUUUGACGGGUAGCCGGCCUGAGAGGGUGACCGGCCACAUUGGGACUGAGAUACGGCCCAGACUCCUACGGGAGGCAGCAGUGGGGAAUAUUGCACAAUGGGGGGAAGCCUGAUGCAGCAACGCCGCGUGCGGGAUGACGGCCUUCGGGUUGUAAACCGCUUUCGCCUGUGGCGAAGCGUGAGUGACGGUAAUGGGUAAAGAAGCACCGGCUAACUACGUG